ACUUUCUUAGGAUAGAAGCAAUCCGUUGGUCUUAGGAACCGAAAAAUUGGUGCAACUCCAAAUGAAAGUA
Molecule: transfer RNA, 70 nt
Filed under: Rhizomys sinensis (Chinese bamboo rat)
Lineage: Eukaryota; Metazoa; Chordata; Mammalia; Rodentia; Spalacidae
Description: tRNA-Leu
Rfam family: tRNA
About the family: Transfer RNA (tRNA) molecules are approximately 80 nucleotides in length. Their secondary structure includes four short double-helical elements and three loops (D, anti-codon, and T loops).
Source: RNAcentral